RNAcentral lists this ribosomal RNA (468 nucleotides) under uncultured bacterium. RNAcentral's name for it is "partial 16S ribosomal RNA". It matches the Rfam family "Bacterial small subunit ribosomal RNA", at positions 28 to 507 of the family's 1533-position model. The record is from RNAcentral.
GACGAACGCUGGCGGCGUGCUUAACACAUGCAAGUCGAACGGAAAGGCCCUGCUUUUGUGGGGUGCUCGAGUGGCGAACGGGUGUGUAACACGUGAGUAACCUGCCCUUGACUUUGGUAUAACUUCAGGAAACUGUGGCUAACACCGGAUAGGUGCUCCUGCUGCAUGGUGGGGGUUGGAAAGUUUCGGCGGUUGGGGAUGGACUCGCGGCUUAUCAGCUUGUUGGUGGGGUAGUGGCUUACCAAGGCUUUGACGGGUAGCCGGCCUGAGAGGGUGACCGGCCACAUUGGGACUGAGAUACGGCCCAGACUCCUACGGGAGGCAGCAGUGGGGAAUAUUGCACAAUGGGCGGAAGCCUGAUGCAGCAACGCCGCGUGCGGGAUGACGGCCUUCGGGUUGUAAACCGCUUUCGCCUGUGACGAAGCGGGAGUGACGGUAAUGGGUAAAGAAGCGCCGGCUAACUACGUG